UUCAAGAUGGAGUCACUGAUCUGCGUCAGCUAUGCCAAGUUGAGCUGUCCCGCAUCCGGUAAUCAUUUUCAAAGUAAAACACAAGGCAGAUCUGCACCUGUAACCAAAACCCGGUGGAUACCAGCCUAAUUACCGCUCUCAUCUGGCACCCAGCUGCCUUCCUUGUCCUUGUGUGAACCUGCACUGCAGAACCUCAGAAGGGGGAGUUUCAGAACGAGGCCUCAGCUGCUCGGAGCUGCUGCCUGCACAGAUGGAGCCGAGGAGAGAGGGAGGCUUUCAAGGACUCCGGGUCAAAUCGAUGCACAUGCAUCGUCAAUCAGCAACGACAGCUUCUGUCACAGUGGCAGAUGGUACGCUCUUCACAAAGAGAAACUCGACAGGAACCUCCUCCAGACACAAACCUCAGUGAAAUUAAGUUGAAAUGUUGUGGGACAGAUCAGCAAAAAGUAAGCAAGUAAAGACUUUACUGUCAUUGUACAUUUCUGUCCAGUACGUACAAAAUGGAAACAAAGUUUAAGGGGAAAUUAUAUGAAAUAAUCAACAAAUCAAAUAAAUAAAUAAACACGACGCCUAGCAGUGUCAAAAAGUGUCAAAAUUGUGUCUGUUAAGUGAAUAAAAGCUACAAAAUGAUUAAAAUCGCAUCAAAAGUUGAAAGUGACACAGAAGAACCUUUUUUUCUUAGCUUUUUUCUGAGCAUGCUGCUUUGAACGGCUGCAGUUUCUUGUUUCUUUUGUCCCAGGAAAUUAUUCAUCCAUCCAUCCGUCCAAGUUCUUCAUCGCGCCCCAAAUGUCCUUCUUCUCCCCCUGCAGCAUCCUCAUCCUCCUGGUCUGGGAUCAGCAGUCACUCCCAGGCCAGCUGGGAGUUGUUAUCCCACCAGCGGGUUCUGGUUCUGGUUCUGGCCCACUCUCAGCGCUCUGGCAGCCAGGAGGCUCAGGAAGCAGCCAACCGUCCCUAACUCCUUUUGCUUUUCUGUUUUCACUGCCUCUUGCUCUCUGGCUGUCAGAUUUCAUUUCCUACAGGCAGAUGUUCAGGAGGAAGAAGUGCACAGGUUAAAAAAGGAAAAAAAAGAGAUAAAGAUAUGAAAUCCUGGUGGAGUGAAGGAACAGGAUGAUCAGAAAUCGAAGUGAGGGCAAG
This is a long non-coding RNA of Gambusia affinis (western mosquitofish), 1134 nucleotides long. RefSeq lists it as uncharacterized. NCBI's taxonomy places the organism in Eukaryota, Metazoa, Chordata, Actinopteri, Cyprinodontiformes, Poeciliidae. The transcript has 3 exons. The record is from RefSeq and is a predicted model, not a curated record.